GGGGCUAUAGCGCAGCUGGUAGCGCAUCUGCUUUGCAAGCAGAGGGUCGCCGGUUCGAACCCGGCUAGCUCCACUA
This 76-nucleotide transfer RNA is filed under the name Bifidobacterium margollesii. RNAcentral's name for it is "tRNA-Ala". It matches the Rfam family "tRNA". Rfam says of the family: Transfer RNA (tRNA) molecules are approximately 80 nucleotides in length. Lineage: Bacteria; Bacillati; Actinomycetota; Actinomycetes; Bifidobacteriales; Bifidobacteriaceae. The record is from RNAcentral. RNAcentral also lists the same sequence under 2 other names.